CUACGGGUCGCACCAGUGGGGAAUAUUGCACAAUGGGCGCAAGCCUGAUGCAGCCAUGCCGCGUGUAUGAAGAAGGCCUUCGGGUUGUAAAGUACUUUCAGCGGGGAGGAAGGGAGUAAAGUUAAUACCUUUGCUCAUUGACGUUACCCGCAGAAGAAGCACCGGCUAACUCCGUGCCAGCAGCCGCGGUAAUACGGAGGGUGCAAGCGUUAAUCGGAAUUACUGGGCGUAAAGCGCACGCAGGCGGUUUGUUAAGUCAGAUGUGAAAUCCCCGGGCUCAACCUGGGAACUGCAUCUGAUACUGGCAAGCUUGAGUCCCGUAGAGGGGGGUAGAAUUCCAGGUGUAGCGGUGAUAUGCGUAGAGAUCUGGAGGAAUACCAGUGGCGAAGGCGGCCCCCUGGACGAAGACUGACGCUCAGGUGCGAAAGCGUGGGGAGCAAACAGGAUUAGAUACCCGCGUAGUC
Molecule: ribosomal RNA, 464 nt
Filed under: uncultured bacterium
Lineage: Bacteria
Description: partial 16S ribosomal RNA
Rfam family: Bacterial small subunit ribosomal RNA
Source: RNAcentral